Non-coding RNA from Cinara cedri, 3845 nucleotides. The record is from the annotation of a GenBank genome assembly. NCBI's taxonomy places the organism in Eukaryota, Metazoa, Arthropoda, Insecta, Hemiptera, Aphididae.
AUAUUAUGAAAAAUCAACUAAAUCACAGAAAACUUAAUGACCAAUUGAUAAACUAUCGAUCAUCAAGUCAUAAAAUACACAAUAUAUUAUAUUUUCAUAUAUUACAACGUUACGUGAUCUACCAAAUUACAAUAACAAUGACUUCUCUUUAAGGACCAAACUUAUUAUUUUCAAUGUCAAGAUUUAAGCAGUUCCUCGUAAAUACUUUAUAUUUUUUUUUUCCCUCUUGACCGAUAAGAAUUAUAUACUCAUUUUAAAUUAUUAUUUCAUAUUUUUUUUUUUUUUUUUACAACAUAAUACAAUUCCAUUAAUUUUCAGAAGUAUAAAAAUUGUUCAGAUCAGAUUAUGGUUGUAUUCAACAACGAGUGAACUAUUUUUCUUGGAUUUUCAAUGUAUAUAUUCAAUUAAUAAAUGAAUAAAGCGCCUAAUUUAUAAGCAAAAUUUUAACAAUGACUAAUGUGCUAAUGAUUUAGGAUAUAUCGGCUGUCAGUUACAGCAACUUUCAUGUUUUAAAAAAGGUAUACAUAAGGUAAUUUAUAAUAAUUGCUUUAUUGAUUAUCAUCAUAUGAUCUGUUAUUACACGCAUAGAUCAAUUGGCUACAAAAUAUUUGACAACGGAAAAUUAUUAAGAUCCGGCCACCGAGAGAACAGGGCGGGUGGCUUCCAUAACUGUUUUUUUUUACAUGCAUUCCCAUCAUUAUAUCAGCUAUCUAAACAAAGCUUUGUGUGUAUUACUACCAUUUGAAAAUUGUAUUUAUGUAAGUAGGAUUUUCUGCAGUUACUGUAUUAAAAUCAAAAUAUCGGUCAAAACUUAAUGUAGAAAAAGAAAUGCGUGUGACUGUUACAACAUUGCUAACUAACUUUUAAGUUCAAAUUCAGACAAAAAAGAGUAUUUAAUGAAACAUUUUUUCAGAGACCCUACUAGGAAAAAGCUUUUGAUGGUUAAAAUAGUAAUAAGAAACAAAUGGACACCUUUACAACACUUUUGUAUAUGUGAGGGAAGUUCUAACAUUAAAAACUCAUCAUAAAGUAAUAUUAUUUGGAUAGUUAUAAUUUUACUACUUAUAGCAAACAAAUUAUCAAUGUUUAAUUAAAAAUACAAUGUAUUAGUUAAAAAAAACGAAAUUAUAGAUACAUACUAUAUAUAUUAAUAUAUAGUGAUAUAUACAGCGAUGUUGAUCACUGUUAUGAUGUCUUUGAUAAAAUAAUUUAAAAAACAAUUGAUAAAUCUACAACUCGUAUAUUAUUAAAAUCCAAAAAUAAACGCUUAAAAGAAUGGUUGGCUAAUGGUUUAUUAACCACAGCCCACCGAAAACAGUUUCUCUCAAUGAAAUGCAAAAAAAUCCAAAUAAUUUAUCGUUAGCUUUGCACUAUAAAAAAUACAAGAAUAACCACAAAAACUAUAAUGCUAGUUCAGACCCAGCGCUAGAGUUGGAAUUCUAGGUGUGCUGAGGGUCAUUGAUGAAAUGAUGGAUCGGAUGCUGGGUAACAUGCAAACUAAAAUAGUCUGAAAACUAAAUUUAAUUUUUAUGAACAAAACUUCAGACAUGUAAGUUCUAAUCCAAAAAAUGUCCAAAAUGAUAUGAAAAUUAAUAAGUGAAAUUACCGGUUCUAAAUUGAGUUCAAAUGAUGAUAUUAUUAAACUAAAAAACUAAAAAAAAAUAAUGACUGUGAAAUAAAUGCAAAAAAUGAUCCAAUAUCUGCAUCCAAUAAGUUAAAUAGUUUCUUUAUAAAUAUCGCAAAGAAUAGUUGAAAUAAACCAAUCAUUUCAGGAAUAAACCAUGUUCAUAAAAACGUUUCAUUUAAUGAUGUGUUUCUAAAAAAAAUUGAAUCGUCGGACUUACUUAAUAUUAUUAAUAGCUUUAAAGAUGAUACAGCUGCAGGUUUGGAUAAGGUACCCGUUAAAAUUUUAAAACGUAUUAAUAAAUUUGUGGUGCAUACUCUUGCCUAUAUAUCUAACUUAAGUAUUGUUCAAAAUAUUUUUCCUGAAACCUUAAAAGUAGCAGAUGUUAAACCCUUAUUUAAAGGUGGUAAUACAUCAAGUAUGAACAAUUAUAGGCUGAUAUCCAUGUUAAGCAAUUUUUCAAAAAUACUUGAAAAAAUUAUCAAAGCUAGGUUGAUAGAAUUUUUAGAAAAAUUUAAAUUAUUAUCAGAAAACCAGUUUGGUUUUGGACCAGGUUUAAGCACUGAUAAUGUUUUUUAUAAAGUUGCUCAAUUUUUAUAUAACAAUUUAGAUAACAGCAAUAAAUUAAUAGCAAUUUUUUUAGAUCUAGCUAAGGCUUUUGAUUUUGUGAACCAUGCAAUUUUAUUAAAUAUGUUACAGAGUUUUGGAAUUAAUAACUUGAGCCUAAACUGGUUUAAAAGUUACUUACAUAAUAGAAGGCAGACAGUUAAAACCAAUGGAGUAAAUGGUAGCAUAUAUGCAAUUAAAAAUAAUGUUGUACCACAAGGUAGUGUAUUGGGUCAGAUACUAUUUAUUUAUAUUAUUUGUUAACAAAAUUUGUGAUAUUAAUUUUGAUGGGGAAAUAGUUACCUAUACUGAUGGCACUUGUCUUCUAUUCUCUCAUAAAUCAUGGGAUUGUGUUUAUGAGAAAGCCUGCAGAGGUUUCAGUCUGAUAAUAAAAAGUUUAAAUGUUAGAAAUCUAUCUUUAAAUGUUGAUGAAACUGUUUUUAUGUCAUUCUCUAUUAAUAAAACAUCUUUUAACUACAACACCUUAGCAAUUCAUGACUGCAUAAAAAAAAAAAAAUUUGUAAUCCACAAAACUGCAUAAUGAUUAAAAUAAUUGAAAAAAUUUGAUACUUAAGUGUUAUAUUUGAUAUUAACUUUAGAUGGAAUUUUCAUAUAAACAAUUUAUUAGGGAAGCUACGUUUCAUUACUUUUAAAAUGGCUAAACUUAAAAACUUAGUACCAAAACAAACAAUAGAAAUAGUUUACUUUGCACUAUCAAUCAAACUUUCAAUAUGGCAUAUUAGUAUGGGGAGGCCUUCGAGAUAACAUCUUAAAAGCAUUAGUAAUUAAUCAAAAUAAUAUAGUUAGGAUUUUGCUAAAUAAAUUUACUCUGCAAGGAUCUACAAACGCUAACUAUAAAAAAUUUGGUGUAUUGCCUAUAAGGUUUUUAGAUAAAAAAAAAUUGCAAUAAUGUAUUUGGUUAAACAAAUUUAAUUUAAAUAAUGAUCGAAAAGAGGUAAGCAACAAAAGGGAAAUGAAAAAAUAUGAUUUGACUGUUAAAUAUGUGAAUACUUAUUUUGGUCAGCGUUUUGUAGACUAUCAGGGUCCAACAUAUUUCAACUUUAUGCCCUAUGACUUAAAAAAAAAAUACUUGGUAGUGAAAUUGUAAAUAUUAAAGAUCUAAUAUACAAAUAUUUAUUCUUUGAAUUAGACAAGGAUAUACGGUAAUAUAAACCAAUUUUAUUUCAUUAUUUUUUAUUUAUUUAUUUGCCUUUAACAUUGUUAUUUAGAAAAUAAGCUGGUUUAUAUAUUUUUUGAGUUGUUUCAAGAUGUAUUAAAUUUUUUUUUUUUGAAAUUAAAAUAUAUUUACACUAUGUUCUUAUUUAUAAUAUAUUUAAAUUUAGUAAUAAUCAUAGCUCCUUAUCUCCAACACAAGCUGCAUAAGCUUACAAAAGGUAAGUUAAUCAAUUCUGUAACAAAUUUAAUUUUGAUGUAUAUUAAAUGUUUUGUUUUUAAUAUCUUAAAAAAAAAAAAAAAAAAUUACUAAACUUAAUAUAAGCUUUUUGAUAUUACCCCUGAAAACUUCAUAAGGCCUUGUAUAGCAGAAAUAAAUAUUUAUUUCUAAUUACCCCACUGGGAGGUAAUAAAACAAUUAUUUGGAGCAACAAGAGAAUUU